UACGUAGGGUGCAAGCGUUGUCCGGAAUUAUUGGGCGUAAAGAGCUCGUAGGCGGUUUGUCGCGUCUGCUGUGAAAACUCGGGGCUUAACCCCGGGCCUGCAGUGGGUACGGGCAGACUAGAGUGCGGUAGGGGAGACUGGAAUUCCUGGUGUAGCGGUGAAAUGCGCAGAUAUCAGGAGGAACACCGGUGGCGAAGGCGGGUCUCUGGGCCGUAACUGACGCUGAGGGGCGAAAGCGUGGGGAGCGAACAGG
Molecule: ribosomal RNA, 253 nt
Filed under: uncultured bacterium
Lineage: Bacteria
Description: partial 16S ribosomal RNA
Rfam family: Bacterial small subunit ribosomal RNA
Source: RNAcentral